GCGCCUGUAGUUCAGCUGGAUAGAACGACAGAUUCCGGAUCUGUAGGUCGGGGGUUCGAAUCCCUUCAGGCGUA
RNAcentral lists this transfer RNA (74 nucleotides) under bacterium. RNAcentral's name for it is "tRNA-Arg". It matches the Rfam family "tRNA". Rfam says of the family: Transfer RNA (tRNA) molecules are approximately 80 nucleotides in length. The record is from RNAcentral.